GAGUUUGAUCAUGGCUCAGAUUGAACGCUGGCGGCAGGCCUAACACAUGCAAGUCGAGCGGUAGAGAGAAGCUUGCUUCUCUUGAGAGCGGCGGACGGGUGAGUAAUGCCUAGGAAUCUGCCUGGUAGUGGGGGAUAACGUUCGGAAACGGACGCUAAUACCGCAUACGUCCUACGGGAGAAAGCAGGGGACCUUCGGGCCUUGCGCUAUCAGAUGAGCCUAGGUCGGAUUAGCUAGUUGGUGGGGUAAUGGCUCACCGAGGCGACGAUCCGUAACUGGUCUGAGAGGAUGAUCAGUCACACUGGAACUGAGACACGGUCCAGACUCCUACGGGAGGCAGCAGUGGGGAAUAUUGGACAAUGGGCGAAAGCCUGAUCCAGCCAUGCCGCGUGUGUGAAGAAGGUCUUCGGAUUGUAAAGCACUUUAAGUUGGGAGGAAGGGCAGUAAAUUAAUACUUUGCUGUUUUGACGUUACCGACAGAAUAAGCACCGGCUAACUCUGUGCCAGCAGCCGCGGUAAUACAGAGGGUGCAAGCGUUAAUCGGAAUUACUGGGCGUAAAGCGCGCGUAGGUGGUUCGUUAAGUUGGAUGUGAAAUCCCCGGGCUCAACCUGGGAACUGCAUUCAAAACUGACGAGCUAGAGUAUGGUAGAGGGUGGUGGAAUUUCCUGUG
This 671-nucleotide ribosomal RNA is filed under the name uncultured Pseudomonas sp. Its description in RNAcentral is "bacterial SSU rRNA". It matches the Rfam family "Bacterial small subunit ribosomal RNA", at positions 9 to 675 of the family's 1533-position model. Lineage: Bacteria; Pseudomonadati; Pseudomonadota; Gammaproteobacteria; Pseudomonadales; Pseudomonadaceae. The record is from RNAcentral.